CGUACAUUAACACUGUUGCUCCUUCGCUGUUGGUGACAGACACACAUGAGCCAGAGCUGGCUUGCGAUUUUGAAAUCAUUUCUUUAUCACUGGAUGUGGAACUUGACUUAGAGGCGCCUCCUGCUCCAGGUCAAAACGUUUUACAUGUCAUUCAGCAUGAGAUUUCAGCUUAUACUGCGAUACAGAAUAUACUGGCUCAGCGCGCUAGACGCCAGAUAUCUGAUAAUGCUGAUCAGAAAGGAGAGAAACUUCCAGGUACAUUAAAACAUUGUGUGUGUAAUGCCUGUGCUUAUGUGUAAGUGUAUA
Molecule: long non-coding RNA, 306 nt
Organism: Pelobates fuscus (common spadefoot toad)
Lineage: Eukaryota; Metazoa; Chordata; Amphibia; Anura; Pelobatidae
Exons: 3
Source: RefSeq, a predicted model, not a curated record